CCUACGGGAGGCAGCAGCAGGGAAUUUUGGUCAAUGGGCGAAAGCCUGAACCAGCAACGCCGCGUGGGGGAUGAAGGCUCUUGGGUCGUAAACCCUUUCCAAAGAAGGAAGAUAAUGACGGUACCCGGCGAAUAAGCCACGGCUAACUACGUGCCAGCAGCCGCGGUAAU
Molecule: ribosomal RNA, 170 nt
Filed under: uncultured bacterium
Lineage: Bacteria
Description: partial 16S ribosomal RNA
Rfam family: Bacterial small subunit ribosomal RNA
Source: RNAcentral